GUCAGGAUGGCCGAGUGGUCUAAGGCGCCAGACUCAAGGUUAAACCUUCUCACUUGAUGAGGCUUCUGGUCUCCGAAUGGAGGCGUGGGUUCAAAUCCCACUUCUGACA
Non-coding RNA from Danio rerio (zebrafish), 109 nucleotides. The record is from Rfam. NCBI's taxonomy places the organism in Eukaryota, Metazoa, Chordata, Actinopteri, Cypriniformes, Danionidae.